UGAGCGACCUACCUAAUUGUGGGGGAUAGCCGGCCCAACGGCCGGGUAAUACCGCAUACGAUCGGAGAGGGGCAUCCCUUUCUGAGGAAGGCCUUCGGGCGCAAUUUGAGGGGCUCGCGGCCUAUCAGCUUGUUGGUGAGGUAAUGGCUCACCAAGGCGACGACGGGUAGCCGGCCUGAGAGGGUGACCGGCCACACUGGGACUGAGACACGGCCCAGACUCCUACGGGAGGCAG
RNAcentral lists this ribosomal RNA (235 nucleotides) under uncultured bacterium. RNAcentral describes it as "partial 16S ribosomal RNA". It matches the Rfam family "Bacterial small subunit ribosomal RNA", at positions 118 to 351 of the family's 1533-position model. The record is from RNAcentral.